RNAcentral lists this unclassified non-coding RNA (361 nucleotides) under soil metagenome. RNAcentral's name for it is "partial contains 5.8S ribosomal RNA, internal transcribed spacer 2, and large subunit ribosomal RNA". The stretch from base 1 to 120 matches the Rfam family "5.8S ribosomal RNA", at positions 35 to 154 of the family's 154-position model. The record is from RNAcentral.
GAUGAAGAACGCAGCGAAGUGCGAUAUGUAAUGUGAAUUGCAGAAUUCCGUGGAUCAUCGAAUUUUUGAACGCAAAUUGCACUCUCUGGUAUUCCGGAGAGUAUGCCUGUUUGAGGGUCAGUAAAAUAAAAAUCGAUGUUGUUGUCAAUGAUAACGCGUCGGAACUGAGUCGUCUUACCUUCGGUUAAGUGACUUUAAAUUGUUACGCGAAUUCGAAACGUAUUUAAUGUUUAUGUACGUUUGCGAUAUUCCAAUAUACUAGGUGCGGUCAUUCACAUGAUUCGCGUCUAUAAUUUUCAUUUCUUGACCUCAAAUCAGGUAAGAGUACCCGCUGAACUUAAGCAUAUCAAUAAGCGGAGGA